This 492-nucleotide ribosomal RNA is filed under the name uncultured bacterium. RNAcentral describes it as "partial 16S ribosomal RNA". It matches the Rfam family "Bacterial small subunit ribosomal RNA", at positions 29 to 507 of the family's 1533-position model. The record is from RNAcentral.
AGUGAACGCUGGCGGUAGGCCUAACACAUGCGAGUCGAACGGCAGCACAGUAAGAGCUUGCUCUUACGGGUGGCGAGUGGCGGACGGGUGAGGAAUACAUCGGAAUCUACUUUUUCGUGGGGGAUAACGUAGGGAAACUUACGCUAAUACCGCAUACGACCUACGGGUGAAAGCAGGGGAUCUUCGGACCUUGCGCGAUUGAAUGAGCCGAUGUCGGUUUAGCUAGUUGGCGGGGUAAAGGCCCACCAAGGCGACGAUCCGUAGCUGGUCUGAGAGGAUGAUCGGCCACACUGGAACUUAGACACGGUCCAGACUCCUACGGGAGGCAGCAGUGGGGAAUAUUGGACAAUGGGCGCAAGCCUGAUCCAGCCAUACCGCGUGGGUGAAGAAGGCCUUCGGGUUGUAAAGCCCUUUUGUUGGGAAAGAAAAGCAGCAGGUUAAUACCCCGCUGUUCUGACGGUACCCAAAGAAUAAGCACCGGCUAACUUCGUG